AUGGAGCAUUAUGACGCGAUGGCUACCAGAAGAGUCCAGCCAUCCUAAUGAGAGGAGGGCAACUUGUCGGCCCUCUUCUUCUUCCUUUAAUUUCACUUUUCCCUUAUUUAUUUAAAUAGUAAUUUAAGUCCAAAAAAUAAAUCACAGAUCCUUUAAAAUAAAUAAAUAAAAAAUAUAAAUCUUUUAUGAAAUUUGGGAAUGGAUUUUGAUCGUGAUGGCUCUGAUCAUAAGCAUCUGAUC
Molecule: long non-coding RNA, 240 nt
Filed under: Elaeis guineensis (African oil palm)
Lineage: Eukaryota; Viridiplantae; Streptophyta; Magnoliopsida; Arecales; Arecaceae
Description: long non-coding RNA (EGUI_LNC062354)
Source: RNAcentral